Molecule: unclassified non-coding RNA, 224 nt
Filed under: uncultured fungus
Lineage: Eukaryota; Fungi
Description: sequence contains ITS1
Source: RNAcentral
GUUAUGUGUUUAGGCGGACGAGGUCCGCGGUCAUUCUAUGAUAUACAGAGUUUGUAAAGGGGACGGCCUCGCCUGGUGUGGCUCGGCCCUCCCAAAGGUGCACAGGGGUUUGGUUUGGAAGGCACGCCCGAGAGCCCGCAGCACGGCGUCUCCGCCGGUGCAGGGCCGACCCGAGCGGCCGAACGAACACGUUAAUGAUCCUUCCGCAGGUUCACCUACGGAAA